RNAcentral lists this ribosomal RNA (392 nucleotides) under uncultured bacterium. Its description in RNAcentral is "bacterial SSU rRNA". It matches the Rfam family "Bacterial small subunit ribosomal RNA", at positions 132 to 518 of the family's 1533-position model. The record is from RNAcentral.
AUAACUCAGGGAUAGCCUUCGAAAGAAAGAUUAAUACCUGAUAGUUACUUUUUCAAGGCAUCUUAGAAAAAGUUAAAGAUUUAUUGGUUAUGGAUGGGGAUGCGUCCAUAGAUAGUUGGUGAGGUAACGGCUCACCAAGUCUUCGAUGGAGUAGGGGUUCUGAGAGGAACGGUCCCCCACAUUGGUACUGAGACACGGACCAAACUCCUACGGGAGGCAGCAGUGAAGGAAUAUUGGUCAAGUGGGCGAGAGCCUGAACCAGCCAAGUAGCGUGAAGGAAUGAAGGUCCUAUGGAUUGUAAACUUCUUUUAUAGUAGAAUAAAGUGAGCCACGUGUGGUUUUUUGUAUGUAUACUAUGAAUAAGGAUCGGCUAACUCCGUGCCAGCAGCCGC